RNAcentral lists this non-coding RNA (30 nucleotides) under Mus musculus (house mouse). Lineage: Eukaryota; Metazoa; Chordata; Mammalia; Rodentia; Muridae. The record is from RNAcentral.
UGGGUGUUUAAACAAUGUCAAAAUGUCUGU